AUUGAACGCUGGCGGCAGGCUUAACACAUGCAAGUCGAGCGGGGUGAUGGUGCUUGCACUAUCACUUAGCGGCGGACGGGUGAGUAAUGCUUAGGAAUCUGCCUAUUAGUGGGGGACAACAUCUCGAAAGGGAUGCUAAUACCGCAUACGUCCUACGGGAGAAAGCAGGGGAUCACUUGUGACCUUGCGCUAAUAGAUGAGCCUAAGUCGGAUUAGCUAGUUGGUGGGGUAAAGGCCUACCAAGGCGACGAUCUGUAGCGGGUCUGAGAGGAUGAUCCGCCACACUGGGACUGAGACACGGCCCAGACGCCUACGGGAGGGAGCAGUGGGGAAUAUUGGACAAUGGGGGGAACCCUGAUCCAGCCAUGCCGCGUGUGUGAAGAAGGCCUUAUGGUUGUAAAGCACUUUAAGCGAGGAGGAGGCUCUUUUGGUUAAUACCCAAGAUGAGUGGACGUUACUCGCAGAAUAAGCACCGGCUAACUCUGUGCCAGCAGCCGCCGUAA
This 503-nucleotide ribosomal RNA is filed under the name uncultured bacterium. RNAcentral's name for it is "partial 16S ribosomal RNA". It matches the Rfam family "Bacterial small subunit ribosomal RNA", at positions 30 to 523 of the family's 1533-position model. The record is from RNAcentral.